AUACGUAGGGUGCAAGCGUUAAUCGGAAUUACUGGGCGUAAAGCGCGCGUAGGGGGCUUUGUAAGUUGGAGGUGAAAGCCCCGGGCUCAACCUGGGAAUUGCCUCCACAACUGCAUGACUAGAGUACGGUAGAGGGGAGUGGAAUUUCCUGUGUAGCGGUGAAAUGCGUAGAUAUAGGAAGGAACACCAGUGGCGAAGGCGCCUUCCUGGACUGAUACUGAAACUGAGGUGCGAAAGCGUGGGCGGAAAACAGGAUUAGAUCCCCGGGUCGUCCACGCCGUAAACGAUGUCAACUAGCCGUUGGGAUCCUUGAGAUCUUAGUGGCGCAGCUAACGCAUUAAGUUGACCGCCUGGGGAGUACGGCCGCAAGGUUAAAACUCAAAUGAAUUGGCGGGG
Molecule: ribosomal RNA, 396 nt
Filed under: uncultured bacterium
Lineage: Bacteria
Description: partial 16S ribosomal RNA
Rfam family: Bacterial small subunit ribosomal RNA
Source: RNAcentral